AAAAAGUAAAAUGAAAACUAUAGAAUUUGAAUUUAAUACAACUAGUAAUAAAAAACUUAUAUAAAAGAUAUUUUCACAUACAAACUAAGAAAUGAUAAUAGGUUAUCUAGUGAACUAUCAUUCUAAUAUUAUGUAUAUUUUACUGUCCGCGGGACUGUGGACCGCCUGUUGGCAAACCGGUAACCGGUCGACUUGAGGUCAGUAAGACUGCCUCGGCGAUACAUUUUAAAACGGAAAGCAUUAUAAUAUUAAUAUUAUACAGAAUAAUAUUCUCAACUGUUUUGGUUCGGCAUAGAUAGGGGCGAAUUU
This is a non-coding RNA of Cinara cedri, 309 nucleotides long. The record is from the annotation of a GenBank genome assembly. NCBI's taxonomy places the organism in Eukaryota, Metazoa, Arthropoda, Insecta, Hemiptera, Aphididae.